This 292-nucleotide unclassified non-coding RNA is filed under the name uncultured fungus. RNAcentral's name for it is "partial contains small subunit ribosomal RNA, internal transcribed spacer 1, and 5.8S ribosomal RNA". The stretch from base 1 to 73 matches the Rfam family "Eukaryotic small subunit ribosomal RNA", at positions 1759 to 1831 of the family's 1831-position model. The record is from RNAcentral. Lineage: Eukaryota; Fungi.
GCAAACUUGGUCAUUUAGAGGAAGUAAAAGUCGUAACAAGGUUUCCGUAGGUGAACCUUCGGAAGGAUCAUUACUGUUGAAACGUCUCGGCCAGUCGUGUCCCGCAUUGGGGCCUUCUGCGCCAGCGUUUAGCACCCUUGAUUUUGAGCACCUUUUGUUUCCUCGGCGGGUUCGCCCGCCAGCGAGGACCCCCAUGAACUCUUUGUAAUAGCAAUUUUUGUCUGAAAUACAAACAAUAAUCAAAACUUUCAACAAUGGAUCUCUUGGUUCUGGCAUCGAUGAAGAACGCAGC